Molecule: non-coding RNA, 771 nt
Organism: Pelobates cultripes (western spadefoot toad)
Lineage: Eukaryota; Metazoa; Chordata; Amphibia; Anura; Pelobatidae
Source: the annotation of a GenBank genome assembly
CCAUGGCAGCACAACAAUGGGUAGCUACUUCCUAUCCCUAAUUACACAAGAACCUAAUUAAACUAGAAGUUAAAAGUAACCCCUCCUACACCUCCCAUCCUCAGUCUUUUUGUCCCUGUCCUAUCCCUAGGACAGACUUACUUUUACUUUUAUGGCUUACCUGAGGAUUGGUUCCACUGGCCCCUUGGGAGUUCAGCCUUUCUCCCUUGGGAAGUCACCAGUACACGGCCCUGUGCAAAGGUGACCCCCUGGAGAAACUGGGGGUUCUAACUUGCUGUGACCCAAAGGGUAGGUGACCCAAGGGGUAGCAAGAUCAUGCCAUCACCAUAAUUCCUGCAGUGACCCAAUGGGUAGCAGGCAGGGCCGGAUUAACAUAGGGACUGAUGGAGCUGCAGCCCCAAGCCCAUGGAAUAGGCCCAUUGAUUUCAAGAAAACUUUAUUUUUUUUCACACUACUCUUAUUUUAUCGUCACAGCCAGAAUUUUUUGAGGCUGCCUGGCCGGUGCCGAUAUUGCAGUCAUACUGGCAAUACAAAUGCUGGUAUUUUCUCCGUAUAAACAGAGAUUAUGAUGCAAUACCAGCACUGGCCACUAGGGGUCAUUGUGUGUAUAAAGAGGCAGGGAUAGGAAGUUCCAGCAUAUCCCUCCCUGCUUAUUUCUACUCACAGGGGAGCAGCUACAGAGAGUCCAGACAGCAACUCCCACUAUGCAGAGACAGCUUACCGCUCAGGAAGUGCGGGAUGGGGAAAGGCUGCAAGAAGACACUAAGGGAC